GGUAAUGGCCCACCAAGCCGAUGAUCGGUACGGGUUGUGAGAGCAAGGGCCCGGAGAUGGAACUGAGACAAGGUUCCAGACCCUACGGGGUGCAGCAGGCGCGAAACCUCCGCAAUGUACGAAAGUGCGACGGGGGGAUCCCAAGUGUUAUGCUUUUUUGUAUGACUUUUCAUUAGUGUAAAAAGCUUUUAGAAUAAGAGCUGGGCAAGACCGGUGCCAGCCGCCGCGGUAACACCGGCAGCUCGAGUGGUAGCUGUUUUUAUUGGGCCUAAAGCGUUCGUAGCCGGUUUGAUAAGUCUUUGGUGAAAGCUUGUAGCUUAACUAUAAGAAUUGCUGGAGAUACUAUUAGACUUGAAGUCGGGAGAGGUUAGAGGUACUACCGGGGUAGGGGUGAAAUCCUAUAAUCCUGGGAGGACCACCUGUGGCGAAGGCGUCUAACUGGAACGAUCUUGACGGUGAGUAACGAAAGCCAGGGGCGCGAACCGGAUUAGAUACCCGGGUAGUCCUGGCCGUAAACGAUGUGGACUUGGUGUUGGAAUGGCUUUGAGUUGUUCCGGUGCCGAAGGGAAGCUGUUAAGUCCACCGCCUGGGAAGUACGGUCGCAAGACUGAAACUUAA
Molecule: ribosomal RNA, 618 nt
Filed under: uncultured archaeon
Lineage: Archaea
Description: bacterial SSU rRNA
Rfam family: Archaeal small subunit ribosomal RNA
Source: RNAcentral